This 468-nucleotide ribosomal RNA is filed under the name uncultured bacterium. RNAcentral's name for it is "partial 16S ribosomal RNA". It matches the Rfam family "Bacterial small subunit ribosomal RNA", at positions 28 to 507 of the family's 1533-position model. The record is from RNAcentral.
GACGAACGCUGGCGGCGUGCCUAACACAUGCAAGUCGAACGGAAAGGCCCUGCUUUUGUGGGCUGGUCGAUUGGCGAACGGGGGAGUAUCACGUGUGUAACCUGUCCCUGUCUUACGGAUAACCUCAGGAAACUGCGGCUAAUAUCGGAUAGGAUCUCUUGCUGCAUGGUGGGCGUUGGAAAGUUUCGGCGGUUGGGGAUGGACUAGCGGCUUAUGGGCUUGUUGGUGGGGUAGGGGCUGACCAAGGUUAUGAAGGGUAGCCGACCUGGGAGGGUGACCGGCCACCAUAGGACUGCGCUACGGACCAGUAUCCAACGGGAGGCAACGGUGGGGAGUCUUACACAGUAGGCGGAAGCCUGGUGCGACAGCGCCGCGUGCGGGAAGACGUCCUUCUGGUUGUGAACCACUGUCGCCUGUAACGAGGCGUGAGUGACGGUACUGGGUAAAGAAGCACCGGCUAACUACGUG